AGUGAACGCUGGCGGCAGGCCUAACACAUGCAAGUCGAACGGACGCACAGUAAGAGCUUGCGCUUACGGGUGGCGAGUGACGGACGGGUGAGGCAUGCAUCGGAUACCACUUUUACGUGGGUGAUAACGUAGGGAAACUUCUGCUACUACAGCAUAUGUCGUACUGGUGAAAGCAGGGGUUCUAUGGACUUUUCGCGAUUGUAAGAGCCGAUGUCGGAUCAGCUAGUUGGCUGGGUAAAGGCACACCAAGGCGACGAUCCGUAGCUGGUCUGAGAGGAUGAUCGGCUACACGGGAACUGAGACACGGUCCCGACUCCUACGGGAGGCCGCAGUGGGGAAUCUUGGGCAAUGGGCGCAAGCCUGAUCCAGCCAUACCGCGUGAGUGAUGAAGGACUUAGGGUUGUAAAACCCUUUUGUUGGGAAAGAACAAAAGCGCGUUAAUCUCCGGCUGUUAUGACGGUACCCAAAGAAUAAGCCCCGGCUAACUUCGUG
This 492-nucleotide ribosomal RNA is filed under the name uncultured bacterium. RNAcentral's name for it is "partial 16S ribosomal RNA". It matches the Rfam family "Bacterial small subunit ribosomal RNA", at positions 29 to 507 of the family's 1533-position model. The record is from RNAcentral.